UAGGAACGCAUGAGGAACAAAGAACGCCACCUCGUGUGGCAACGCCUUCGUGACCAACAUAGUGUUGG
This 68-nucleotide small RNA is filed under the name Psychrobacillus sp. OK032. RNAcentral's name for it is "Bacillaceae-1 RNA". The stretch from base 8 to 68 matches the Rfam family "Bacillaceae-1 RNA". Lineage: Bacteria; Bacillati; Bacillota; Bacilli; Caryophanales; Bacillaceae. The record is from RNAcentral.